RNAcentral lists this ribosomal RNA (520 nucleotides) under uncultured Bacteroidales bacterium. RNAcentral describes it as "bacterial SSU rRNA". It matches the Rfam family "Bacterial small subunit ribosomal RNA", at positions 28 to 536 of the family's 1533-position model. Lineage: Bacteria; Pseudomonadati; Bacteroidota; Bacteroidia; Bacteroidales. The record is from RNAcentral.
GAUGAACGCUAGCGAUAGGCUUAACACAUGCAAGUCGAGGGGUAACGUGUUGGAAGCUUGCUUCCGAUGACGACGACCGGCGGAUGGGUGCGUAACGCGUAUGCAACUUGCCUCACAGAGGAGAAUAACCCGGAGAAAUCCGGACUAAUGCUCCAUACACUCUUAGGGACACAUGUUCCUGGGAGGAAAGAUUUAUCGCUGUGAGAUAGGCAUGCGUCCUAUUAGGUAGUUGGUGAGGUAACGGCUCACCAAGCCGACGAUAGGUAGGGGUGCUGAGAGGCAGAUCCCCCACAUUGGGACUGAGACACGGCCCAAACUCCUACGGGAGGCAGCAGUGAGGAAUAUUGGUCAAUGGAGGAAACUCUGAACCAGCCAAGUCGCGUGAAGGAUGAAUGUCCUAAGGAUUGUAAACUUCUUUAGCGAGCGAGUAAGGACUUCUACGUGAUGGGAGUUUGAAAGUAGCUCGAGAAUAAGUAUCGGCUAACUCCGUGCCAGCCGCCGCGGUAAAAGGGCGAAUUCG